UGGGAAAAUACGUCCCGCGACGGCAGCCUUCAUUGCCAGUAGCCAGCACAAAAAAGGUGAGAACUCAAAGGGGACUGCCGGUGAUAAACCGGAGGAAGGUGGGGAUGACGUCAAGUCCUCAUGCCCCUUAAGAGUGGGGGUACCCACGUCAUACCAAGGGCAGAUACAAAAGAGAAGCGAACCUCGGAAGCACAACACACACCCCCCAUAAAGCCAUGUCGAAGUCGGGUAGGAGUCUGCAACUUAAAAUCCAGAAAGUCGGAAUCGCUAGAAAAAAGGGAUCCGGAAGUCGCGGGGGAAAACGUUCCCGGGUCCCUUUUUUGGCCGACCGUCCCCCCCAUGGGAAUGUCUCCGGCCGAAGCCCCGCCCCUCCUCCCA
RNAcentral lists this ribosomal RNA (378 nucleotides) under Zavarzinella sp. SS12. RNAcentral's name for it is "partial 16S ribosomal RNA". It matches the Rfam family "Bacterial small subunit ribosomal RNA", at positions 1074 to 1443 of the family's 1533-position model. The record is from RNAcentral. Lineage: Bacteria; Pseudomonadati; Planctomycetota; Planctomycetia; Gemmatales; Gemmataceae.